This is a long non-coding RNA of Fundulus heteroclitus (mummichog), 1255 nucleotides long. RefSeq lists it as uncharacterized. The record is from RefSeq and is a predicted model, not a curated record. NCBI's taxonomy places the organism in Eukaryota, Metazoa, Chordata, Actinopteri, Cyprinodontiformes, Fundulidae. The transcript has 3 exons.
AAAAAAAGGGGUUAUCUUUAAUAACCCUAUCAGCCUGGUGCCGUGACCCGGAUCCCAACAUAUCAGCUCGCUGACGAGAGGAGCGGACAUGCUGAAACCCACCGGUGGUCUGAGUCAAGGACCUGUCUAAAGUCCCGGGAGGUAAUUUCCUCACUGGGCCAGCGUCAUAGGUUAACUCCUUUCGCCAACGAGGGAUUGACGGGAUCCGACCGGGAGAAAAGCACACCACAGCAAGAUCCACAAGCAGUGAGACCAGGAGACUGGGUGUUAACUGGGUGAGACAAAGGUGGGAAGGACCAUUCCAAGUGCUCCUGACCACGCCAACAGCUGUGAAGAUUGCUGAAAGACCUUCCUGGAUUCACCUCAGCCACUCAAAGUUACAGGCUAUCCCACCAAGAUGAAGGCUGUUAUGUCUAAAGGAAUGAAACAUCCAGUGUGUAUUCACUCACCUAGAGGGAAUGAUACGGUGAAGGCUAAUGGAUCGUACACCAGCUGUUCUAUUUGGAAACCACAAGUUAACUUUUCUACAGAAGGUGGCUGGUUCCUGUGUGGAGGAGACAACAUUUACCCAUCACUGCCCCUCAGCUGGUCAGGUACAUGUGCACCUGUGUUUGUUUCUGACCACACUGUCAUCAUCUAAGCUCAAGCUGUGAAGGAAAAUCAUCCUUCUAAUAGGAGGAGAAGAGAACUCAGCUCCAGCUCAGUUUUCCAGCCCCAUGAUCCCAUAUGGGGUUCCAAUGUUCCCUCUGAACAUAAACACUGGAGUACAGCGAAUAAAAUAGGACUUUCACUUUUCCAGGACCUUGGAGUUGGUAAAUCUAUGCUGAUAAUUGAGACACUGGACUACAGAAUGAAGACCAUAGUGAACAUGACGAUGGACAUUAAUAAAGGACAGAACAAACAGAUCGUGGUUGCACCUUUUACUGAAAAUAAUGACACCUAUUAUUAUUGUUUUUAUUAUUCUUUGGGUUUUUACUGCUUGUGUAAUCCCAUGCCUAAAGUCUAUGAUUGCUAAAACUAUAGGAAAUGUAAUGUUUCAAUAUCAAAUGCUUUCACAAAUCUCUCUUGAAGAAAUACACCCGGUAGUUUACCUUUUCCCUUGUUAAAUGCUUAAAAAAAUGACAGUCUCAUUGAAAAUGCAGAAUGCAAGAAAAGGAUACUUGAAGUAGGUUAAGUUAGGCUUUCAAUAAAAUGAUUAAAAGGGGGGAAAUGUUAGAAAAUGUGAAUGUAAUAAUUUUAUUUCUAUCAAGUUACA